Molecule: non-coding RNA, 274 nt
Organism: Chelonoidis abingdonii (Abingdon island giant tortoise)
Lineage: Eukaryota; Metazoa; Chordata; Testudines; Testudinidae
Source: RefSeq, a predicted model, not a curated record
GGAAAAUGAGUACCAGUGAUGCCGCUAAUAAACUAGAGCUGGCCAGACUGGAAGCACAAGAGAAUGAAAAGAAUCAUAAGAAACUGCUCAAAUUAAAACAACUCGAGAAAGAAGCUGCUGAAAGAGCAGAGAAAGCCAAUGAGGCUGCCCACAAAGAGCUAUGGAGGAGAAAGAAAAAGAGAGGAAUCAUGAACUGGAGUUAGAGAGGGCAAGGGCUAGGCAAAAUACACCAGAAAACCCUAGAAACCCCUCUCCAGGUACUGCUUCCCAUCCC